Molecule: ribosomal RNA, 432 nt
Filed under: uncultured bacterium
Lineage: Bacteria
Description: partial 16S ribosomal RNA
Rfam family: Bacterial small subunit ribosomal RNA
Source: RNAcentral
AACGAACGCUGGCGGCAUGCCUAACACAUGCAAGUCGAACGAGACCUUCGGGUCUAGUGGCGCACGGGUGCGUAACGCGUGGGAACCUGCCCUUAGGUUCGGAAUAACUCCCCGAAAGGGGUGCUAAUACCGGAUAAUGUCUUCGGACCAAAGAUUUAUCGCCUUUGGAUGGGCCCGCGUUGGAUUAGCUAGUUGGUAGGGUAAAAGCCUACCAAGGUGACGAUCCAUAGCUGGUCUGAGAGGAUGAUCAGCCACACUGGGACUGAGACACGGCCCAGACUCCUACGGGAGGCAGCAGUGGGGAAUAUUGGACAAUGGGCGAAAGCCUGAUCCAGCAAUGCCGCGUGAGUGAUGAAGGCCUUAGGGUUGUAAAGCUCUUUUACCCGGGAUGAUAAUGACAGUACCGGGAGAAUAAGCUCCGGCUAACUCCGU